UCUUGCCUUCCUAAAGUUCUAGCGAAGAUGAUACAAUGAAAUAGAAUAAUCAAUGGACUGAAAGAGUGGGAGAAGCACCAAAGAAGUCGAGAUUUAGCGGGACUGGACAUAAUUGGUCCUCUUUUAAGGUCUUUGCUCCUUUCCCAUUACACGACAAUGAGCAAAGAGGGGCAGUUGUAGUGGCCCAAAUUCGAUCGGCCCAGAAAAAAUAAAAACCAAAAAAUAAUAUUAAUAUCAAAGUUCAUUUACAAAAAAAAAACAAAUUGGCCCAAAUUACAAGCCUAAACCUAAACUACCCUAACCCAAACCUGCUAAAC
Molecule: long non-coding RNA, 317 nt
Filed under: Gossypium raimondii (Peruvian cotton)
Lineage: Eukaryota; Viridiplantae; Streptophyta; Magnoliopsida; Malvales; Malvaceae
Description: long non-coding RNA (GRAI_LNC009818)
Source: RNAcentral